GACGAACGCUGGCGGCGUGCUUAACACAUGCAAGUCGAACGGAAAGGCCCUGCUGGCUGGGUACUCGAGUGGCGAACGGGUGAGUAACACUUGUGUGAUCGGCCCUGCACUUCGGGAUAAGCUUGGGAAACUGGGCCUAAUACCAGAUAGGAACCAGCUUUAGGGUGGUGGUUGGGGAGUUUUUUGGGUGUAGGAGUAGGUUGCGGCCUAUCAGCUUGUUGGUGGUGUAAUGGCCUAGCAAGGCGGCGACGGGGAGCCGGCACGCGAGGGUGUACGGCCACAUCGGGCUCGAGCGAGAGCCAAGAGUGGUGAGGGAGGCAGAAGGGGGGCAAACUGGACAAAGGGAUGCCGCGUGAAGGAGGAAGGCCGUGGGGGGGAAGAAGGCUUUCGGCGUGUAAAAACCUUUUGAUAGGGAUGACGCUUUUUAGUGACGGUACCUAGAGAAGAAGCACCGGCUAACUACGUG
RNAcentral lists this ribosomal RNA (466 nucleotides) under uncultured bacterium. RNAcentral describes it as "partial 16S ribosomal RNA". It matches the Rfam family "Bacterial small subunit ribosomal RNA", at positions 28 to 507 of the family's 1533-position model. The record is from RNAcentral.